AAUAUAAACAGACAGUAUAUGCAGUUUAUAUGGCUUUCAAAAACAGUGAUGUGCUGAGCAACAUGAAUUCAGUGCUCUACUUUCCCAAAAACCUGAGCAAAUUAUUCUAGACAGGCAGUUUUAUGUAAUGCUUGUUAUGAAAGCCAGCUACAAACGUAUUAAUAUUUUAAAGUUGUUUUUCAUUUUUUUUGUCUCAAAUCAAUGAAUCUUCCAUUGAAAGUGACCUUAGAAGUGUUUACACUCAAUUUCUGAAAAAUUGUGUAUUUGUUUGUUGGCUUAAAAUGCCACUUUUUUAUCUCUGCAAUUUGUUGCUAAGUUGCCUUAAAAGCAGACAGGUAAUAAAUUGCUUCCCAUACAAAGUUGCUUCAGUAAACCCUAUUAGAAGAAUACUACACAGCAUUCUCAUUUUUUGAACUGAAUGUCACCUUUCCUUGUAAAAAGUAUAUUUUUCAUUGAGUGUAUUUCCUACGUAGAAGAACAGGAAAACAUUUCAACAGACUGAUUGAUUAAUUUAAUUUUUCACUUGGUUCAUGUGAAUUCUGAUUCUAGGUACAAAAUACAUUAUCUAUUUAUAUUUAAUUUAAACCCUAUAUGAAGAGCUAAAAAGCAGCCUGCAAGAUUCCUGCCUGAUUCUGACUCAUUUUUUGCAGCGAUUCCUCCCUGAUGUGAAUUGCACUAACAGAUCCUAUUUAUCUCUCAUACUUGUCUUGAAGGAUACGUUUAAUUUCUUCAGGGAAUUACUUGGGCUGCAGAUGGUUCACAAAUGCUGCCUCCUGACGCCUGCUGACUCUUUCGUAAAUAUGGACUGUAGCUAGAGUACUAUAUUAAUUACUGAAAGAAACUGGGCCAUAUCCAAAGCCCUGGCCUCACUGAGGCCUUAGAAAAAACUUCCAUUAACACCAAGUUAAGAUCAGAAAAAUGGGAUUCUGUAGCAUAAGAAUGGAGUUGUUCCUAACACAAUGGAUGGAGAUGAGGUUUCCUAUGGCAGACCUAAAUUACUGGGAAAGUACAACUACCAGGUGUAUUAAUAAUCAUUCAUUUGCUCCAACAUACAAAAGAAUUGUGGUUGCAGCAACUUGUUUUUUUAGUUUUAAAACCAAAAAUGUAAGCUAGAGUGGAAUCUCUGAAUCAGGGAAAAUGUCAUCUGACUGUGUUUGACAUAAAUGAUUAAUCAUUUGACAAGCAUCUGGAAUUUAUGUUACAUGUAUUUGGUAAGUCACCAUAUUCUUACAUUUCCCCACCACUUUCUGAAUGACAUUCCAAGAGUAGCAUUCAACUUUCUUUUAGAAUAGGCUGUACUUCCUCUAUCCAUGUAUGCAUCCCAUGAGAAAACAACUGAGGUAAAGCAUAUCAUACAAGAAUAUAAGUGAUACUACAGAUAAUAUAGCUUAAUAAAUGAUGUGGUUUAUUUUUGUAUAAAUUAUAAAGCUAUGGAUUUUCUGAUAAACACUGAUGAUAAGGCUUUGAUGUGCAUUUUAUUAUCCUUGGAAAUGUGGGCGUUUCUAAUUGAAAUAAACACUGAAAAGUAGACAGGAUGCAGAAUUUUAGAAAAUGUUGUCUUCCCCUCUCACAGUGCAACAAACUUUAAAAGAUUUUAAAACUGCCUGCCAUGUGGUUUGUUCUGUUUAAUUAAAUCAAUAUCAGAGUAAAGACCCAGGAAUUCCAAGAAUUUUUGAACAGGUCAUUUAAUUCAUCUGUUUCUCCACUUGUUACUGUCUUAUCAGUGUAUUACUGAUAGCUGCCUUUGAACCAACAAAAUAAAAUAGAGUUUGAAUUGUAAAAAGCUUGAUGAUAUUACAUAAAAACUGGUAAGUAAAAAUAAAUUUUUAUGUCAAAUAUGUACUAAAUAUAAUAUGUAGUAGACACUACAUAGUAAUUAAUAAUAACCAAUAAUAAUAAUGCAAGGCACAACAAUCCUUUAAAGACCCAGUGUCUUUUAUUAUUGCCAGUAGAUCUGGGUGUACAAGAGAAGAUACUCCAGCUACUUUCUUUUUAAUGGAAAAAGUGUGUUGCCAGCCUGGACACUUAUCAGUGAGGCUGUUUAGAUACAGACUAACCUGAAGAAAUGCAGAACUGGGCACAUACUUCUGCCAUGCUCCAGAAGACCAUAAAGCCUCUACAACUAUGCUUCAAGGUUUAACACCUUCUUUCUUGCUUCUUGCCUUGAUAAUUGUCAUGGAAAACGCAACCCAAGACAGUUGGUCUUCCAAGUUGUCAAUCCUCACAUAUUAAAUGCAUAGCUGUUAGGUCUGUUGUGUUUUAGGUGUAAGGGAGCAAACACAAAUGUCAUACAAAUCAAAAAAUAAUUAAUGUCCCGUCCCAAAAUGAACUCAGCCUUCACAAUGUCCGUAUCUUGCAAGAGCCACUUUUCUUUAGUCAUUGUUCAUACUUACACUUAUCCAGUUGAAAUCUGAAGAUGGAGAGAAGCAGAUCCAUGUUAAACUUCUUGCCUGUAACAUACAGCUGAAGAACACAGUGGUUAAAACUCAAAAAGGCUGCUGUCUGUCAGACUUCCCUCUUGAACAGUAAACCUGGGAGCUUGUGUUUGCUUUUUUUGGCUGUAAAAAAAUCACCUUAAGCUGAGCUCAAGUAAAAUGCAUUUUAAAAAAUACACUUUUUUUUUUCUCCCCAGCAUUACUGUUUAUAAGGAAAUGAAGACUGUUUAGGUUAGGGAAUGCAAUCCAGGAGAGAUGGCAGAGGCUUUUUUGUGGCUGUGACUAGAUUAAUAUUAGAGUGGCUAUAACUCUUACAUGAUCAGCUUCCUUUAAGAGAUAGUGGUAUUUGGAUGAAUAAGCUAAAAGGCCUGGAAGGAGAUGAAAAUGAACAAUGCUGCACUGUGGUGAGCAGCAACAGGUGCCCAGGCAUAUCCUAGGGGACAUACUGACCUCUGACAGUUUACUGCUGGCUUUUUUACUGGGGUAUAUAAUUUUUCUUUGCCUUCAUCACAAUCAUCUUCUUCCCCACUUUCCCUAACCAUUUUACUGUGCAUAUUUUUGUUAUUUUUUCAUAUAUUUUUAAUACAUGUAUUUUUGGUGACACUCUGAGUAUCACAGAAAAAUCUACUGUACAGGACCCAGGACUACAAAGCCUGCAUGUUUGCCCAUCCCACAAGGAAUGACUUGAAGCUGGAAUACCUCUGUCUAUCAGUUUUUAGAGUGGUUUCAAGAAGAUAAAGACCCUCUCUAUAAAGCAGCUGAGGAAGCCAUUUAGCCUGCAAGGCAGACAGGACAUAUCAAUUAAGAAUGACCUAGUUUCACUGAACUGGUGGAGAUUACGGGUAUUCUCUGAACUAUGGUGGAAAGCAACCACGAAUCAUACUGCUCUGCUUGGGAAAACUACCCAUGAGAAGUGGGAUUAAUUUUGGCCUGAAAAAUGAAGUUUUGUCAGUUUGGACAACUAUCUGACAGAGACAGCCUGGUCUGUGCCUGUGGUACCCGCAUCUUACCAAGCAGCAGGUGCUGAGCUGAGGGUCACAAAGCUAGAUGCAAGUAAUAGAAAUAAAGAGUGGCUGGUCAUUUUAGCUUCCUGAUAGAGGGAGAGCAAUACAAAAGCGGGAAGUAUGAGGUAAAAACCACAAACAAAGCCUGGAGGGAUGAUUUGUUAUGGUUUAGGAUCAUAUGAGAAGUCUUGAAAGAGUGUCAACAAAAUCUGGGCGUGGUAAAAGUGAGUCCUAGCAGAAGGUCUUAAAGCAGGCAACAAAACAAUAGCAGGAGUUCAUGUGGUCUAGACCAAUGGCCAAAUACAGGAAACCACAAAGUGUGCUUGCUGGCAGAGAGGAAAAAGUGCCUGAGAGCGGAAAAUCGCUGUGACGGCCAAGCAAUAUCCAGGAGGGACCCAGACACUUC
This is a long non-coding RNA of Ficedula albicollis (Collared flycatcher), 3845 nucleotides long. The record is from Ensembl. Lineage: Eukaryota; Metazoa; Chordata; Aves; Passeriformes; Muscicapidae.